CCCUGGUAGUCCACGCUGUAAACGAUGUCUACUAGCCGUCGGGGUCCUUAGUGACUUUGGUGGCGCAGCUAACGCGAUAAGUAGACCGCCUGGGGAGUACGGCCGCAAGGUUAAAACUCAAAUGAAUUGACGGGGGCCCGCACAAGCGGUGGAGCAUGUGGUUUAAUUCGAUGCAACGCGAAGAACCUUACCAGGUCUUGACAUCCUCGGAACUUGGCAGAGAUGCCUUGGUGCCUUCGGGAGCCGAGUGACAGGUGCUGCAUGGCCGUCGUCAGCUCGUGUCGUGAGAUGUUGGGUUAAGUCCCGUAACGAGCGCAACCCUUGUCCUUAGUUGCCAGCACGUCAUGGUGGGAACUCUAGGGAGACUGCCGGUGACAAACCGGAGGAAGGUGGGGACGACGUCAGGUCAUCAUGGCCCUUACGACCUGGGCUACACACGUGCUACAAUGGCUGGUACAGAGGGUUGCGAAGUCGCGAGGCGAAGCUAAUCCCUUAAAGCCAGUCGUAGUCCGGAUCGGAGUCUGCAACUCGACUCCGUGAAGUCGGAAUCGCUAGUAAUCGCGGAUCAGAAUGCCGCGGUGAAUACGUUCCCGGGCCUUGUACACACCGCCCGUCACACCAUGGGAGUGGAUUGCACCAGAAGUGGCUAGUCUAACUACGGAGGACGGUCACCACGGUGUGGUUUCAUGACUGGGGUGAAGUCGUAACAAGGUAACCAU
Molecule: ribosomal RNA, 719 nt
Filed under: uncultured bacterium
Lineage: Bacteria
Description: bacterial SSU rRNA
Rfam family: Bacterial small subunit ribosomal RNA
Source: RNAcentral